Molecule: ribosomal RNA, 1551 nt
Filed under: Staphylococcus haemolyticus
Lineage: Bacteria; Bacillati; Bacillota; Bacilli; Caryophanales; Staphylococcaceae
Description: bacterial SSU rRNA
Rfam family: Bacterial small subunit ribosomal RNA
Source: RNAcentral
UUUAUGGAGAGUUUGAUCCUGGCUCAGGAUGAACGCUGGCGGCGUGCCUAAUACAUGCAAGUCGAGCGAACAGACAAGGAGCUUGCUCCUUUGACGUUAGCGGCGGACGGGUGAGUAACACGUGGGUAACCUACCUAUAAGACUGGGAUAACUUCGGGAAACCGGAGCUAAUACCGGAUAAUAUUUCGAACCGCAUGGUUCGAUAGUGAAAGAUGGUUUUGCUAUCACUUAUAGAUGGACCCGCGCCGUAUUAGCUAGUUGGUAAGGUAACGGCUUACCAAGGCGACGAUACGUAGCCGACCUGAGAGGGUGAUCGGCCACACUGGAACUGAGACACGGUCCAGACUCCUACGGGAGGCAGCAGUAGGGAAUCUUCCGCAAUGGGCGAAAGCCUGACGGAGCAACGCCGCGUGAGUGAUGAAGGUCUUCGGAUCGUAAAACUCUGUUAUUAGGGAAGAACAUACGUGUAAGUAACUAUGCACGUCUUGACGGUACCUAAUCAGAAAGCCACGGCUAACUACGUGCCAGCAGCCGCGGUAAUACGUAGGUGGCAAGCGUUAUCCGGAAUUAUUGGGCGUAAAGCGCGCGUAGGCGGUUUUUUAAGUCUGAUGUGAAAGCCCACGGCUCAACCGUGGAGGGUCAUUGGAAACUGGAAAACUUGAGUGCAGAAGAGGAAAGUGGAAUUCCAUGUGUAGCGGUGAAAUGCGCAGAGAUAUGGAGGAACACCAGUGGCGAAGGCGACUUUCUGGUCUGUAACUGACGCUGAUGUGCGAAAGCGUGGGGAUCAAACAGGAUUAGAUACCCUGGUAGUCCACGCCGUAAACGAUGAGUGCUAAGUGUUAGGGGGUUUCCGCCCCUUAGUGCUGCAGCUAACGCAUUAAGCACUCCGCCUGGGGAGUACGACCGCAAGGUUGAAACUCAAAGGAAUUGACGGGGACCCGCACAAGCGGUGGAGCAUGUGGUUUAAUUCGAAGCAACGCGAAGAACCUUACCAAAUCUUGACAUCCUUUGACAACUCUAGAGAUAGAGCCUUCCCCUUCGGGGGACAAAGUGACAGGUGGUGCAUGGUUGUCGUCAGCUCGUGUCGUGAGAUGUUGGGUUAAGUCCCGCAACGAGCGCAACCCUUAAGCUUAGUUGCCAUCAUUAAGUUGGGCACUCUAAGUUGACUGCCGGUGACAAACCGGAGGAAGGUGGGGAUGACGUCAAAUCAUCAUGCCCCUUAUGAUUUGGGCUACACACGUGCUACAAUGGAUAAUACAAAGGGCAGCGAAACCGCGAGGUCAAGCAAAUCCCAUAAAGUUGUUCUCAGUUCGGAUUGUAGUCUGCAACUCGACUACAUGAAGCUGGAAUCGCUAGUAAUCGUAGAUCAGCAUGCUACGGUGAAUACGUUCCCGGGUCUUGUACACACCGCCCGUCACACCACGAGAGUUUGUAACACCCGAAGCCGGUGGAGUAACCAUUUGGAGCUAGCCGUCGAAGGUGGGACAAAUGAUUGGGGUGAAGUCGUAACAAGGUAGCCGUAUCGGAAGGUGCGGCUGGAUCACCUCCUUU